GUCCACGCCCUAAACGAUGUCGACUGGUUGUUGGGGGUUUGACACUCUCAGUAACGAAGCUAACGCGUGAAGUCGACCGCCUGGGUAGUACGGCCGCAAGGUUAAAACUCAAAGGAAUUGACGGGGACCCGCACAAGCGGUGGAUUAUGUGGAUUAAUUCGAUGCAACGCGAAAAACCUUACCUACCCUUGACAUGUCCUGAAGCCCGGUGAGAGCCGGGUGUGCCCGAAAUGGAACGGGAACACAGGUGCUGCAUGGCUGUCGU
This 265-nucleotide ribosomal RNA is filed under the name uncultured bacterium. RNAcentral's name for it is "partial 16S ribosomal RNA". It matches the Rfam family "Bacterial small subunit ribosomal RNA", at positions 793 to 1055 of the family's 1533-position model. The record is from RNAcentral.